RNAcentral lists this ribosomal RNA (989 nucleotides) under Baeomyces rufus. Its description in RNAcentral is "SSU rRNA". It matches the Rfam family "Eukaryotic small subunit ribosomal RNA", at positions 75 to 1072 of the family's 1831-position model. Lineage: Eukaryota; Fungi; Ascomycota; Lecanoromycetes; Baeomycetales; Baeomycetaceae. The record is from RNAcentral.
UAUACGGUGAAACUGCGAAUGGCUCAUUAAAUCAGUUAUCGUUUAUUUGAUAGUACCUUACUACAUGGAUAACCGUGGUAAUUCUAGAGCUAAUACAUGCUAAAAACCUUGACUUCGGAAGGGGUGUAUUUAUUAGAUAAAAAACCGAUGCCCUUCGGGGCUCCUUGGUGAUUCAUAAUAACUGAACGAAUCGCAUGGCCUUGCGCCGGCGAUGGUUCAUUCAAAUUUCUGCCCUAUCAACUUUCGAUGGUAGGAUAGUGGCCUACCAUGGUUUUAACGGGUAACGGGGAAUUAGGGUUUUAUUCCGGAGAGGGAGCCUGAGAAACGGCUACCACAUCCAAGGAAGGCAGCAGGCGCGCAAAUUACCCAAUCCCAACACGGGGAGGUAGUGACAAUAAAUACUGAUGUGGAGCUCUUUAGGGUUUCACAAUUGGAAUGAGUACAAUUUAAAUCCCUUAACGAGGAACAAUUGGAGGGCAAGUCUGGUGCCAGCAGCCGCGGUAAUUCCAGCUCCAAUAGCGUAUAUUAAAGUUGUUGCAGUUAAAAAGCUCGUAGUUGAACCUUGGGCCUGGCUGACCGGUCCGCCUCACCGCGAGCACUGGUUCGGCCGGGCCUUUCCUUCUGGGGAGCCGCAUGCCCUUCACUGGGUGUGUCGGGGAACCAGGACUUUUACUUUGAAAAAAUUAGAGUGUUCAAAGCAGGCCUAUGCUCGAAUACAUUAGCAUGGAAUAAUAGAAUAGGACGUGUGGUUCUAUUUUGUUGGUUUCUAGGACCGCCGUAAUGAUUAAUAGGGAUAGUCGGGGGCAUCAGUAUUCAAUUGUCAGAAGUGAAAUUCUUGGAUUUAUUGAAGACUAACUACUGCGAAAGCAUUUGCCAAGGAUGUUUUCAUUAAUCAGUGAACGAAAGUUAGGGGAUCGAAAACAAUCAGAUACCGUCGUAUUCUUAACCAUAAACUAUGCCGACUAGGGAUCGGACGGUGUUUUCAUUUU